GCCAUCGUAGCUCAAUGGCAGAGCACGAGUUUUGUAAACUCGCGGUUGUCGGUUCGAGUCCGACCGAUGGCU
RNAcentral lists this transfer RNA (72 nucleotides) under Phycisphaerae bacterium. Its description in RNAcentral is "tRNA-Thr". It matches the Rfam family "tRNA". Rfam says of the family: Transfer RNA (tRNA) molecules are approximately 80 nucleotides in length. Their secondary structure includes four short double-helical elements and three loops (D, anti-codon, and T loops). Lineage: Bacteria; Pseudomonadati; Planctomycetota; Phycisphaerae. The record is from RNAcentral. RNAcentral also lists the same sequence under 1 other name.